This 31-nucleotide non-coding RNA is filed under the name Mus musculus (house mouse). The record is from RNAcentral. Lineage: Eukaryota; Metazoa; Chordata; Mammalia; Rodentia; Muridae.
UGGGUGUUGGCUAAAUGUUUUCGGAUUAAGC